This 465-nucleotide ribosomal RNA is filed under the name uncultured bacterium. RNAcentral's name for it is "partial 16S ribosomal RNA". It matches the Rfam family "Bacterial small subunit ribosomal RNA", at positions 338 to 795 of the family's 1533-position model. The record is from RNAcentral.
CCUACGGGAGGCAGCAGUGGGGAAUAUUUCUCAAUGGGCGAAAGCCUGACGCAGCGACGCCGCGUGAGGGAUGAAGGUCUUCUGAUCGUAAACCUCUGUCAGCAGGGAAGAACGGUCACUGUGCUAAUCAGCCGUGAAUUGACGGUACCUGCAACGGAAGCACCGGCUAACUCCGUGCCAGCAGCCGCGGUAAUACGGAGGGUGCGAGCGUUAAUCGGAAUUACUGGGCGUAAAGCGCUCGUAGGCGGUAUGUGAAGUCAAGGGUGAAAUCCCCGCGCUCAACGUGGGAACUGCCUUUGAAACUGGCAAACUGGAGUGUGUGAGAGGAGAGUGGAAUUCCAGGUGUAGGAGUGAAAUCCGUAGAUAUCUGGAGGAACAUCAGUGGCGAAGGCGACUAUCUGGCACAUAACUGACGCUGAGGAGCGAAAGCGUGGGUAGCAAACAGGAGUAGAUACCCCUGUAGUC